Molecule: long non-coding RNA, 369 nt
Organism: Dermatophagoides pteronyssinus (European house dust mite)
Lineage: Eukaryota; Metazoa; Arthropoda; Arachnida; Sarcoptiformes; Pyroglyphidae
Source: RefSeq, a predicted model, not a curated record
AUUUGGAAUCAAUUUUCGUAAUGUGAAAUUUGUGUGUUUUUUAGGGUUAUUUUCUUUUCAAUUUUUUUUCGUUUUUACUGUUUUGUCUUUAUUAAUCUAAUUUUAAAAAAGUAUCCGAUCCAGAACUGUAUUUCUCAAUCUUCCAAUUUAAGGUUCGUCGUUCUUUGCGUUUGUUGUGUUUGUGCUUUUUGAUUCAGCUAAAUUCUCAUCAUCAUCAUUAACAUCCAUUCAAGACUCUCUCCUUGAUUAUCUUGAAGUUUAGAUUUUAUUUCUCCCAGUGUGUUCAAUAAAAAAAAAAUAAAAAUAAAUCCGACAAUACCGUUUUGAAAAGUUUUCAAAAAUAACCGAUUGAAUCGAUCAAUCAAUCAA